Molecule: ribosomal RNA, 253 nt
Filed under: uncultured bacterium
Lineage: Bacteria
Description: partial 16S ribosomal RNA
Rfam family: Bacterial small subunit ribosomal RNA
Source: RNAcentral
GACGGAGGGAGCAAGCGUUGUUCGGAUUUACUGGGCGUAAAGGGCGUCUAGGCGGGCCAGCCAGUCAGGUGUGAAACCCCCCGGCUCAACCGGGGAUCUGCACUUGAUACUGCUGGUCUUGAGUAUGGAAGAGGAAGGCGGAAUUCCUGGUGUAGCGGUGAAAUGCGUAGAUAUCAGGAAGAACACCGGUGGCGAAGGCGGCCUUCUGGUCCAAUACUGACGCUAAAGCGCGAAAGUGUGGGGAGCAAACAGG